GGAGGCCUCAAAAACAAGGUCUGAGCAAAUCCCCAAUAUGUCAUUACCUCAGCUGCUAUACCCAAAAGUAAUAGAGCAGAAGUUUAAAUAAAACCCAGUGCUCUAAAAGACUUUGGAGAAGCUUCUUGUUAUACAGAAAUUGAAUAGCUGUGUAGAUAAAGGACCUUUUGAUAUGAAGCUUAAUUUUCCUUGUCUCUGGCUUUAAGACCACAUUUCUUUGAACAAAGGAAGGCUACCAAACUGGUAACCCACUUNNNNNNNNNNNNACCAUCAGAAGGUUAGCACAGAUAGAGGAGAAUACCUACCUAACUGCUGGAGGCAUACCCCAGACAUACAUUAAACAAAGACCCUAUAAAACCUCUCUACUCUGCAAAUUAUUAGCUGUGUAACUUUGGUGAAAUUACUCAGCUUCUCUAAGACUCAGUUUCUUCAUUUCAAGCAUGAAGAUAAAGGUUAAGCCACCAUGGCGCUGGCAGGUCCCAAAGAGACAAGAGGAGGCCAUGGAAAGUACCAAGUGCACAGACCUCACAGGUAGGGCUAGACACAAGUCUUUACAAACAUGAGACACAGAUUUAUAGAUAAGUUCUACCAACUCAUGCACAAACUGUACUUAUUCACACCAACACCCCACACAAUAAAAUGCUCAGGUAUGCGUUCAUCCCCCCCACACAAGCCUGUCACAUCCAUAUUUGUGCAACAGGCUUUGCCUCCAUUUUUCUUUCCUGGUCAUACUCACCUUGUGCCAUGUUCUAGGGUGCUGCCCUGUCCCCUGUGCGUGAAGGUCCCUCUGACCAUGGAUGGUGGUAAAGCUAAACAAGCCCAGACUGCAUCCAAAGCUAACUCUUAUUGGGCAUCACAGAACUUCAGAGAGCUAGAAUCACAAGGCUCCUUAGAAAUAAUCCAAUCUUCUGCCUCUAAAAUCCUUUUUUUUUUUUUAAUUGUCACAAUCCUUUCCUCAAAGAAAAGCUCAUCCAGGGACUCUGGCAUUCUCGCAGAUAUAGACAACAUU
This 1009-nucleotide long non-coding RNA is filed under the name Capra hircus (goat). Its description in RNAcentral is "lncRNA (ENSCHIG00010026446.1)". Lineage: Eukaryota; Metazoa; Chordata; Mammalia; Artiodactyla; Bovidae. The record is from RNAcentral.